This 253-nucleotide ribosomal RNA is filed under the name uncultured bacterium. RNAcentral describes it as "partial 16S ribosomal RNA". It matches the Rfam family "Bacterial small subunit ribosomal RNA", at positions 524 to 776 of the family's 1533-position model. The record is from RNAcentral.
UACGUAGGGUGCGAGCGUUGUCCGGAAUUAUUGGGCGUAAAGGGCUCGUAGGCGGUUUGUCACGUCGGGAGUGAAAACUCGGGGCCUAACUCCGAGCCUGCUUCCGAUACGGGCUGACUAGAGGUAUGCAGGGGAGAACGGAAUUCCUGGUGUAGCGGUGAAAUGCGCAGAUAUCAGGAGGAACACCGGUGGCGAAGGCGGUUCUCUGGGCAUUACCUGACGCUGAGGAGCGAAAGUGUGGGGAGCGAACAGG